GACGAAGCCUAUGCCUUUGAGUUUUUCAACUUCUACCUUCAUUGCUUCGUACCGUUCAGCAUCAUAAGAUCUUCGCUUCUGUCUUACUGGCUUGGGGUUGGGGUCAAUACUUAAGCAAUGACAGAUGAUAUCGGGAGAGAUGCCUAGCAUGUCCUCGUAUGACCAGGUGAAAACCUUAAUGUUCUUUUGCAAAAAAGAGAUCAAUGCCAACCGAAUAGGUGGUGACAGUGGUGCCAAUCUUCACUAUGCGAUCUGGAUAAUCUUUUGAGAUAGAGACAUUCUCCAACUCUUCAGCGGGUUGUGCUUGUUAGGUGAAAAAGUUAUCUUGAGGAUCGUCGGGUUAACUGUUGCCACCAUGAAGAUCUAAGUUGGCUUCAUCUAGGUUGGUCUUUAUGACUUGGUCAUGUUUAGAAAAUGUUUCCUUGGGCACAGGCAGGUGUUGUUGCUUAACCGAAGUGUUGUAACAUGAUCAUGCACUAAGUUGAUCUCCUCUGAUCUAACCAUUGCCAUAGGGGGUUGGAAAUUUCAUCAACAACAUAUGUGUGGAUACCAUGGCCUUGAGAUCAUUAAUGCAUGUGCGUUCGAAGAUGACAUUGUAUGUCGUUGGGCAAUCAACCACUAGGAAGUUAGUGGUAAUGGUAGCUGUGUAAGGGCCUGUACGAAUGGUGAAAGGUAAGUGUAUGCUCCCCAAAGGUUGCAUGAAAUCACCGGAGAAGCUUAUCAGAGGGGAAAUCGAGCGAUCGAGCAAGUGUUCAGCUACAUUAAGUGCCCUGAAGGCUUCAGCAAACAUGAUAUUGACCGAAGCCCCCGUGUCUACCAGGAUUCGUCGUACUUCAAAGUUGGCUAUGUGAUCUUCCACGAUUAGUGGGUCUUUGUGAGGGUAGAAGAUACUUCUUUCUUCCUUAGGAUAGAAACAUAUUAGAUCCUAGUUAGGCUUUUGAUACUUACCUCCCCUGAUGUCUUCCACGUGAAGCACUUUGUGGCUAAACCUUAAAGCUCGUUCACUACUUUUCAUGGUCCUGUUGGAAGAUUUAGAUAUGGGUGUGCCACCACUUGUGGAAUAUAUCACAUUCACCUGGUGUUGGUUACGGUUACCCCUUGGAGGGUGAAAGAGGAAUUGAUCAAUUUUUCAUUCACGUGUAAAAGCUUCAAUCACGAAGGGUGAUACACUUC
Molecule: long non-coding RNA, 1173 nt
Filed under: Malus domestica (apple)
Lineage: Eukaryota; Viridiplantae; Streptophyta; Magnoliopsida; Rosales; Rosaceae
Description: long non-coding RNA (MDOM_LNC008702)
Source: RNAcentral